Molecule: ribosomal RNA, 380 nt
Filed under: uncultured eukaryote
Lineage: Eukaryota
Description: partial 18S ribosomal RNA
Rfam family: Eukaryotic small subunit ribosomal RNA
Source: RNAcentral
CAAUAGCGUAUAUUAAAGUUGUUGCGGUUAAAAAGCUCGUAGUUGGAUUUCUGCUGAGAACGACCGGUCCGCCCUUUGGGUGUGUAUCUGGCUCUUUCUUGGCAUCUUCUUGGUGAACGUUGCUGCACUUGACUGUGUGGAGCGCUACCCAGGACUUUUACUUUGAGGAAAUUAGAGUGUUUCAAGCAGGCAUACGCCUUGAAUACAUUAGCAUGGAAUAAUAAGAUAGGACCUCGGUUCUAUUUUGUUGGUUUCUAGGGCUGAGAUAAUGAUUAAUAGGGAUAAUUGGGGGCAUCUGUAUCAACGCGUCAGAGGUGGAAUUCUUGGAUUGCGUUGCGACAAACUACUGCGAAAGCAUUUGCCAAGGAUGUUUUCAUUGA